RNAcentral lists this ribosomal RNA (449 nucleotides) under uncultured prokaryote. RNAcentral describes it as "bacterial SSU rRNA". It matches the Rfam family "Bacterial small subunit ribosomal RNA", at positions 355 to 796 of the family's 1533-position model. The record is from RNAcentral.
UGGGGAAUAUUGGACAAUGGGCGCAAGCCUGAUCCAGCAAUGCCGCGUGUGUGAAGAAGGCCUGCGGGUUGUAAAGCACUUUCAGUAGAGAAGAAAAGCCUAGGGUUAAUAACCCUGAGUCUUGACGUAACCUACAGAAGAAGCACCGGCUAACUCCGUGCCAGCAGCCGCGGUAAUACGGAGGGUGCGAGCGUUAAUCGGAAUUACUGGGCGUAAAGCGCGCGUAGGCGGCUUGGUCAGUCGGAUGUGAAAUCCCCGGGCUUAACCUGGGAACUGCAUUCGAUACUGCCUGGCUAGAGUAUGGUAGAGGGAAGUGGAAUUCCGGGUGUAGCGGUGAAAUGCGUAGAUAUCCGGAGGAACACCAGUGGCGAAGGCGACUUCCUGGGCCAAUACUGACGCUGAGGUGCGAAAGCGUGGGGAGCAAACAGGAUUAGAUACCCCCGUAGUCC